RNAcentral lists this ribosomal RNA (459 nucleotides) under uncultured bacterium. RNAcentral's name for it is "partial 16S ribosomal RNA". It matches the Rfam family "Bacterial small subunit ribosomal RNA", at positions 338 to 795 of the family's 1533-position model. The record is from RNAcentral.
CCUACGCGUGUCUGCAGUGAGGAAUAUUGGUCAAUGGGCGGAAGCCUGAACCAGCCAAGUAGCGUGCGGGAUGAAGGCCCUACGGGUCGUAAACCGCUUUUGCACGGGGAUAACACCCUCCACUUGUGGAGGUCUGCAGGUACCGUGCGAAUAAGGGCCGGCUAAUUCCGUGCCAGCAGCCGCGGUAAUACGGAGGGCCCGAGCGUUAUCCGGCGUCAUUGGGCUUAAAGGGAGCGUAGGCUGGCGUUCAAGUCAGCUGUAAAAUCGCGCGGCUCAACCGCGCCCCGCAGUUGAAACUGGACGCCUUGAGUUCACAACAGGCAGGCGGGAUGCGUGGUGUAGCGGGGAAAUGCAGAGAUAUCACGAGGAACCCCGAUUGCGAGGGCAGCCUGCCGGGGUGCGACUGACGCUGAGGCUCGAAGGUGCGGGUAUCAAACAGGAUUAGAUACCCCUGUAGUC